Dreissena polymorpha is the source of this 581-nucleotide long non-coding RNA. RefSeq lists it as uncharacterized. The transcript is spliced from 3 exons. NCBI's taxonomy places the organism in Eukaryota, Metazoa, Mollusca, Bivalvia, Myida, Dreissenidae. The record is from RefSeq and is a predicted model, not a curated record.
CAUAUAAAUAAAAGUUAGCAGACACCAAUGUCAAACUUGUUUUGUCAUUUUCACAGUUUUCAUUUCCAUGUACAUCUAAUAUGGUUCGACAAAAGAACUUCAUCAGCCAAGGGAAUGCCACAGUCUUCGGGGAAGAAAACAUGGCUACAUCUGGAGAGAGCUUAAACAUCUAAUAUGACUGCAAAGCCCAGAUGGUCCUAUGAUGACUCAACAAUGGAUGACAAGGAAAACACAAGAACACCUUUUUAAGACGAGGUCCACUUUUGAGAACUUUGACUGGAAAUCACAGCGCUUCAUUUGUCGUGAAAAGUGCAGCCGUCAUUGAGACAAUACAUCAAGAGGUUUUAGCAGAAGUUGGUCACUAGGGCCAAACAAAAAAAAAUGUGUUUCGGGAAACGGCUGAAAAAAAAAUUAGGUAGGGUAAGUAUUUUUUUUCUGGUUUUGCGAUGGCUCACAUGCUUUUGCAAUGGGAAUAUCCGGAAAAAAAACAUCGUACCGAAGUAUGCGUGUCCUAGAAAUUGGACCAUAUUCCGUUUCUUGUUGAAUUCUCAAAUGCGCAUAAUUAAAUUUGUAAUCUGAAA